AUGGUCUACAACAUGACUCAGAGAGAGCUUGCAAUAAGAGCUCCUCAGAGGGUUCAUGGGCCACUGCCUGAGCAAUCUGCAUUUGUUGCUGCUGCUGGUGCUGCAAUACCUCAGCCAAGGAUCACUACAGAAAUGAACAUAGGUAGACAGACAAGGGCAACCACAAUAGCUGACAGAGGAGAAGGAUCUGGUAGGGGAAGAGGAAGAAAAAGACAAAGAAAUCCAGAAGCAGGCAGAGGGUCAAAUUCAGUUGCAGGUAGAGGAAGAGGGUCAAAUUCAGUUGCAGGUAGAGGAAGAGGAGCAAAUGCAAAUGCAGGUAGAGGAAGAGGAGCAAAUGCAAAUGCAGGUAGAGGAAGAGCAGCAAAUGCAAAUGCAGGGAGAGGAGAAGUUCCAUCUGAAGGGAUAGGAGAAGCAGCAAUUGCAAAUCCAGAUGCCUGGACAGGAUCACUGCCAUUUGCAGGGAGAGGAGGAUCACUGCCAUUUGCAGGGAGAGCAGGAUCACUGGCAUUUGUAGGGAGAGGAGGAUCACUGGCAUUUGCAGAGAGAGGAGGAGCAAACAAUGGCUUAUAA
Molecule: ribosomal RNA, 570 nt
Filed under: Triticum aestivum (bread wheat)
Lineage: Eukaryota; Viridiplantae; Streptophyta; Magnoliopsida; Poales; Poaceae
Description: partial small subunit ribosomal RNA
Source: RNAcentral